This 244-nucleotide long non-coding RNA is filed under the name Ananas comosus (pineapple). RNAcentral describes it as "long non-coding RNA (ACOM_LNC013209)". Lineage: Eukaryota; Viridiplantae; Streptophyta; Magnoliopsida; Poales; Bromeliaceae. The record is from RNAcentral.
AUAUUUUGGUCGUCUUAUAUGGGUGUGGCUAAUCUGUACCACCACGAGCAAAAUAAUAACACCUAUACGAUAUUUAUAGAUUACAUCAAAAGCUACCACAAUCCUAGUCUAAUUAGAUUUCUACUCUAAGUAAUAUUUAAAUCUUAAUACUUUAACUUUAACGGAUUUAAAUAUUAAUUCUAAUCAAACUAGGAUUCAACUACAAAACUAAUCAAAUCCUAACAAAAUGUUGUUUAUUCAAAAU